GACAGAGUAGAUCCAGCGCGUCAAGUGCCAUCGGAUGGGAGGUUGCCGAUGGACGAAGGGACCCUUCCCGCGUUGCUGUAUCGCAUCCGCUGCC
This is a regulatory RNA element of Ruminococcaceae bacterium D16, 94 nucleotides long. It matches the Rfam family "THF (Tetrahydrofolate) riboswitch aptamer". Rfam says of the family: THF riboswitch presents a pseudoknot that joins P1-P2 and the loop of P3 and two THF binding. NCBI's taxonomy places the organism in Bacteria, Bacillati, Bacillota, Clostridia, Eubacteriales, Oscillospiraceae. The record is from Rfam.